AACAUUUAUAGGUAUUUAGUAUUUAUCUUAUUAUAGUGAUUGAAGCAUUGGUAGGCUUCCAAAUUAGAGCAUGCGUGUCUUGAGAGAGAACAGUCAGAGCUGUUUAUGUGAGUGGGACUUUGCCCAAGAAGAGCUGCCUCCUUUGCUAUACAAGAUUUCAGGCAUCAGAAAUCAUCAAUAUCAAUGAUCAGCUAUGCUUUGAUAUGGGGAUGAUGUCUGCCAGGAGGGGAUUACUGGUGAGUUUUAAGGUGGCUGAGGAGUCCAAUCUGUGCUUUGCAUAUCCACAGAUAUGAAAAGUAGUGGCGGGGGGGGACAUGGACAACGACAACAACCUACAGCUGUUUGCCUGGAUGUUGUGCGCUUUCCUUCUUCCUCUACCAUUACUUGGCGUCCUGAACAAGACUGUUCUCUUUGAAGUGGGUUGUAGCUUUAUGUAUGGUACAGCAACAUUGAGACCUGUUACCAGCCAGCACUUCCCAAUUUGUAGGGUUGAUGCCACCCUUCUUAAGGUAUGCUUUCAGGGUGUCCUUGUAGGAUUUUCUCUGCCCUCUGAUGGUCCUCUUACCAGGACCAAAUUGAGAGAAGAUGACUUGCUUCGGAAGACGAGCGUGUCAGCCAUCCGCACACAGCAGCCAGCCCAGUAGCGUUUCUGUAUCAUGAUCUUUGCCUCAAUGCUGGUUUUGUUAGCUGCAGGGAGGAUGCUGGCCUUGGUGCAGUAGUCUUCCCAUCUAAUGUGAAGGAUCUUCCUGAGGCAACACUGAUGAAACCAUUCCAGGUGCUUAAGAUGGCUUUGAUAGGUCAUCCAUAUUUCACACCCAUACAGGAGCGCGGGGAUAACCACUACACUGAGACCAAGAUCAUAAGUUUCCAACUGCAGAUCUCAAAGACACAGCGAAACAGCUUUCCAAAGGAUACACUAGCACAGAGAAUCAUAUGUUCGAUUUCUACGUUCAGACUGACUGGGAGAAACCGUCAACGUAUGGGAAGUGCUCAAUGUUUUCCAGGGGUUCUCCACCAAUGGUAAUUUGUGGGGGCAAGGGGACAGUUUGUUCUGGGGUAAGCUGAUGAAGCACACUGGUCUUCACAAUGUUAAGGGGGAAUCCCAGGCUGUGAUAGGCACUUGAGAAAAGGUCAAGGGUGAACUGCAGACGUGCACAAGGAUAACACAGUCAUCAGCAUACUGAAGGUCAGUGAUGCCAGUCUUGGCAACUUUCAUUUUUCUGUGAAGGCGCUGCAAGUUGAAAAGCUGACCAUCCAUUCAAUACUCAACCCCAAUUCUUGGAGGAAGGCGGUCGCAGAUGAGAAUC
Gavialis gangeticus (Gharial) is the source of this 1307-nucleotide long non-coding RNA. RefSeq lists it as uncharacterized. The transcript has 2 exons. The record is from RefSeq and is a predicted model, not a curated record. Lineage: Eukaryota; Metazoa; Chordata; Crocodylia; Gavialidae.